Molecule: non-coding RNA, 7193 nt
Organism: Rattus norvegicus (Norway rat)
Lineage: Eukaryota; Metazoa; Chordata; Mammalia; Rodentia; Muridae
Source: RefSeq, a predicted model, not a curated record
CCACAGGGCAUCUUAAGUCAAGCACAUUGCUGUCUGACCCCUGUGAGGUCACACAGAAUGCUAGCUCAAGGCACUAGUGUCAUAACGUAAUCUUUUACAUAAGUAAAUUGGUCUUGCUUUCCUCUCGUUGAUCAGGCUUCCUUUAUAGAGAUGGCAGCCUGGGCCUCUGAGAUCGAGGAAAAGAAAUCCCUUUUCUUUCAACAGGUGCCCAAAACUUUUUUUUUUUCUUGAAUGAUUAACACACCUGAGGAGGUAGCCAGGAGGUGCAGGGUCUCAGAAGUCACGGUCCUUGGAGUAUUUAAAAGACAUGUGCCUUUUUGAUCUUUAAAUUGGUCUUGGAGAGUGGGAUUAAUAAUUCAAAUAUUGCCUCAGUGUGAUUGAUUCAGCACUACUUUUAGGGGUAGAUGUUGAAAACUCUAAUUCCACAACACUAUACAUCCAAUCACUCCAAUUUAAUUUCUGCUUCUUUUAGGCUGUUUAGUUCUUUUCUAAGUAAGCUAGAAACAGAAAAUGGGUGAGUCCCUUAAAUCCCUCACUCAAUAAAGUUGGUGCCAUCGGGGAUUGGAGUACAGAUGAUGUAGAUUACGACCCACUGAUACAUUGGCAGCUCAAGCAUGGUCACAUGACCGGAAGCCACAGGCAGCCUGGUGUACCUGGAAGUCCAUCCGUCCAGGAGAGAUGGGUAGCAAGGGCUGAGGAGACCUCUGGGGACAUCCAAGGCAGGAUGGCUGGAGAGCCAGUGUCAGGCCAGACAGUGCAGAGGCCGCACUGCUUACCUGGCUCGGUUCUUGGUGACUGUGAAGAGAUGCUCUGUUGACCUCUCCACUCUGUAGAAGAGCAUCCGCUGGAGCUCAGAAAAGGAUACCUCAGAGGAAGGGCCUCCUGAUUUCACCCUCGUUCUUCUCUGAGACAAGGACCAAAAGGACCAGAAUUUCUUCUCCUCAAGUGAGCCACAGGAACAAGAACCUCCAUCCCUAAAGCCAAGGGCUAAAAUUUACCCAUUACUGUUUCCUGCUUAUCCGUAAGCGUUGGCCAUAAAGAAAUUUUUGGCUGACGUUGUCUGAAUGUAGGUCCCACAUUACAGAAAGGAUCUUGUCCCACGAUGUGGGUGGAAAAGAAGCAGCUGAUUCCCCCAAUUCAGAACUACUUUUACACCCUGUGAGGAACCCAGAAAUGGUUAAAGAACACAUUCCAGUUGGUGGUGUUGAUAGAGUCGACGUGUCCAUCGGGACAGACCACGGUAGGCCAAUGCACUUCCACGUAGGAGAGGUUUAUUGGGGUGACAGAGACAAAAGGGGGAAAGAGAGGGAGGAAGAAGAAGGGGGAAAGUCAGGAAAGGUCUGCUUUUUAUUUAAACUGAGACGUGACCGCACGCAGGUAAAGGUGGGAGAUAAACCAAAUGAAUGCUGGGAAUGUAUGGUCGUUGCCAUGGCAACAGAUGCACACGUCCCUGUUGCCUGUUGGUGACGUCACUGCCGAAUCUUGUCUGUUGGUGACGUCACUGCCGGAUUCAGAGGCGAAAGCGGUUCCUGAUAUCAACAGUUGGUUCUGAUGCUGCUAAGUCUAUAAAGAAAAACUCUGAACUCUUUGGAGACAGAAACCUCACAUAGUCCAUGCUGGCCUUUGCUAUAUAACCAAGGCCGGCCUUGAACUUCUGAUGCCCCUGUCUCUACCUCCUGAGUUCUGGGAUUACAACAGACAGCUGGCCUUGGGAGGGGCAGGGGUUGUCCUUUUUAAAGCCUUAGUUUGUGGGAUUCAGGAAAGGGAGUCUGUAGUUGGGGACAAUAUCUUUGUAGACCUGAAGACCUAGCUUAUAACUUUCUUCCACUCAGUUUGGACAACAUCUAUACAUUCUGAGAGGGGUGAGACCCUCCCUAGACCAGAAAGAAUUGGGGGGUUGUCCAGUCAUGGGGCUGAAAUGAAAAAGUGGAAAAUCUGUAAGCAGAAGUAACUGAGUGACCGAUGACCACAUGAUGACCUUUGCAACCAGAUGCUAAGAUACCAACCAGCCCAGGACUGGACAGUGGAUCAGGUUAAGUCUCCUGUCCUCUAAUGCAGGUAUUGGCUUCCAGACCUUGGCUGUUGUACAACCUAAUCCAAUACUAUCCAGAAGAAAGGGCGUGCUGACUGUUGAUAAUUGGCCAUUGUCUCCUGUUGUUACUGUGACAAAGCUCCACAGACUGACUUAAGGUAGCACAUGUUUACCGCCUUAAAGUUCUAGAGUUCAGGAGUCUGAAAUAGAACUUCAGGGCCCAAAUUAAGGGGGGUCCACUCUCCAGGGGCUCUGAAGUUUCCUUGGCUUGUGAACCUCUCCCCUGUCUCCUUCAAAUCCAGCAGUAUCGUUCUGUCUGUCUGUCUGUCUGUCUGUCUGUCUGUCUCCUUCCCUCUCUCUCAUUCUCUUUCUCUCCCCCUCUUUCCCCUUUUCCCUCUCAUCUCUUCUCUCCCUCCCUUUCCGUGAUACAACUGAAAAUAGUCAAGUAUUCAUACAAACAAACCUUUCUAACACUAAGAAAUCCCUUCAAAAACAGAUUUCUUUAAUCCAAAUACCCACUUACAGAAAUCAGAGCGUCAAAUUCCCAACCACAGCUGCUCUGACAGGUAAAACUAUGUCAUCAACAAAUAAAAAUAAAACCCAAGCAGCAUUCAAGUUAGAAGCACAGGAGGGUGACACCCCUGUCCCUUCCCGGUGUAUCUACCAACAGAGCGGGUGAGCAGAUGCUGGGUCACACUGGCUGUGGGCUGCAUGGAAUCUGCCGCUGGACCCCCUCAGCUGAAUCCACUGAGGAGCCUAGACUGCCAGAGGAUGAUCUUCCAAAAGGGGAAAAAUCUCCAGUAUCCUUCAAAGUGAAGACUGACCAGGUAUGAAGGGCGUUCCCCAAGGGAACCAUACUUAUAACUUGGUGAAGAAUGAACGGGUAUUGGUCAGGAAUAUUGGAAUGAAUUUGCAAAUGGAUACAAACUAGCCUUUCCACACACAACAAGGAAAGUCUUGUCUCAACCACAGAGAACCUAUUUGUGCAUCUGCGAUCAAGAAUUGUUUGCAAGACUGUUUGUUCUCCUGGGACAUCAGAAUAGCCAGGCCGGAUCACUGUGGGAGGAGCCAGCAUUCCACAGAAAGGGUGGUUAGUGCUUUCCUGCUGACUUCAAAGACUUAAUUUUUAUAGUCCUGACUCAAAUCAACAGCGAUGCAUUUUUCCACAAUGAGAGGCUCACACAGUAAUGCUUAAGUACAUACCCCACAGUCUCUCGGCCCCUAGGCCUGGAGCCUAGUCCUACAGCUUUGGGAGAGUGGCUCAAUCCGGAAUCAACAACCAGCAGCCCAAGAACUACAUCCAGCCCACUGCACUGCCUGCUUUUGAAAAGUUCUUCAGGAAGUUGUAGCUCAGUCAGUGGUAGAGCUCUCGGCUAACAUGCACAAACAUGCAGCGUUCAAUGUUCAGCACAGCAAGAGAGCAGACAAAAACCAUCCCAAACACCAAUACAGGUAAGGGUUGUGUGUGUGCCUCCAGGUACUCAGAAGACAGAGCCAAGCAGAUCUCUGAGUUCGAGGCCAGCCUGGUCUACAGAGUCAGUUCCAGGACAGACAGAGCUACAAGUGAGACAUUGUCUCAAACAAACAACAAAAUUUUUCAUAUAUAUCUAUAGGUAUAUAGAUAUAUAGAUAUAUAGAUAUAGAUAGAUAGAUAUAAUAUUUUAAGUGGUUGGAAAAACCAAAACAAACAAAAGAACAGUGUUCUUUGAAAUGUGACAAAAAUUACAGAAGUCAGACUUCUGUGCUCAAAAACUAUUUUCUCUGAGCUGGUGUAUUUGUUUCUGUGCUGUCUAUGGCUCCUUUCUCUCCAGAGUGGUAGUGUCGAGAAGCUGUGUCAGGCACCAUUUGACCCACAGUGGCUGAAGGUUUUUUUGUUUGCACCUUUACAGAAAAGGUUUACCAAUCCUCCUUUUCUCUGUAUAGGUUUGGUAAGUCUGAUUUUGCUCACUUUGUAAGGGAGGCUAAGACUGGUCCUUGCCUCCCAGACCAGCAGUGAUACCUGAGAAAAGACAGGUGAAGUGGAAACUUAAGGGUUCUUUGGAAAGUCGGUUGGAUGGUGUUUUGCUGGGGUAAACACGUGAAGGAAUGGUUAGCUGAAGUGAACACAGGUGAAAGGCUAAGGCAGUCUCAUGAAGGAACAUUUAGCUGAAACAGACACAGGAGAGAGGACAUCCUGCUAAAGCAAGCACGUGAAAGUACAUAUAAUGAAGGACUUUUUGCUAACGGCACACAUAUAUUGGUCUACUUUGCAUUGAGUAGUUAGAACUGAAUUUGUCAGGACUCCCUAGAGAAAUGCACCAACAAGCUUCUGGUGGUGUGCUGUGGCUUUUUUGCUGCUUCUGCAGUCAGGCUGAUUGGCAGAGUGAUGUCAGCUGAGACAGAUGCAGUGCUGAGGCAAGACCUGUAGAGGACAAGUGAUGUUUGAAGGUAUACAUAGGACUUCACAGACAGUGACAGAGGCUAGCGUGACUUGCUUAUAGAGCUAGAGGUGCAACCUGAUCUUCCCUGAUCUUUGAUUUGAUGAGAGAGGCACAGCCGAGAACUUCCCCUGGCGUCCCCCCUGGUCCCUCUGCUGACUCGAGCUGAGGCUGAGGCCUGGCUGUCUCUGCUAGGUAGUGCCUUGGCUGCUGAUUCCCAUUUGCCAUCCUGACGUAGAGAACUGGACUGACUGCUGGUGCAUCCGUGAGUGUCUGUGAGAGAAUGGAGCUGCCACUGCCUGCUGACCUGUGAACAGAACUGCCAAUUUCCAGACAACACAGAAUGAGCUGCUCCCAAGAACCUUUCUAAACAGGUCUACUCCCCUCCCCCACAUAUCCUUUCUUUCCCAUUACUUCUGGUGGGUGGCAGACUAGAAGAAAGGUUAAAACAUUUAGGGGUUGGGGAUUUAGCUCAGUGGUAGAGCGCUUGCCUAGCAAGUGCAAGGCCCUCAGCUCCGAAAAAAAAAAAAAAUUAAAGAACCAUCAUUAGAAAUAAGGUUUGAAAAAAAUGUAAAGUUACAGAUAUGGAAAGCUUCUAUAGGAAUAGGACCAGCCAGAAGGAAUCCCCAGACUAAGUGGCUCAUGCCAUGCCAGGAUGUAAAGCCACCCGCUUGCCUUUUGAGGGCGUGUUCUAGAUUCAUUCCUAUUGCUGUGACAAAUGCCCUGACGAACAGCAACACAGGGGAGAAAGGUUUUGUUUCCUUACCAUUCUGGGCUAUGUCGGGCUCUGGGUAGAAGCCAAGAAAACUUACUUCAGAUACAGAAGCUUAACAGUGAAAGCUUUAUUUUGUUGAGCACUUGGGGAAACGGCCAGUCGGGAUCUGAACCUCGUCCCUGAAGGGAGAUUGUAGGUUUUUAAAAGAUGGGACCACAAAGCAAAGGGGAUGACUACAAUGUUAUCCAAUUGUAAUUUGACAUUAGGGGUUAGGUAAGGGAGUAACCAUUGAAGACUGGGUGGUAUCCACAGCACCUGGCUUCAAGGUCCUUAAUUCAUUCUCCUAGACAAUUAAGUCUGGAGCUCAGAGUGACUGGGGGUUGGGGGGAGGGAGAGCAGGCCAGCUGCAUGUAGUUAAUUAGGGCAUAAAAGGCAAUUGGUUAUAUAUUUUUUCAACUUACGCACCUUGGCUUAGAUAACAGUAAUUUCUUAAAUUUGUUAGUUGUUAACAGACAAUUAGGGAAACACUUGGAAAAGUGGGGUAGGUGCUCAGUCCUGGUCUGGGAACAUGAACUUGUUUGACCCUGCCAGCAAGAUGGAGAAGUUGUCUCUGAGAUGUCUGGACUCAGACAACUGUUUAUACCAGAAGCUGUUCAGCUAGAGGGAAGUCCCCAGCUCCCCCGGGGCCUGGGAUCUUGAAUUUAAUUUCUCCCUAUGAUUAAACGGAGUCUAAAAACAGAAUGGUAACACUUAGAAUAAGUUUCUUUCCCUUGUUCCCAACAGGCCAUAGCCCAUUUAUUGAGGGGAGGGGGUCGCAGUGAGAACUCAAGCCGCCGGUCUCAGGACAUUCAGUCAAGAGCAAGGAGGCAAGUGUAUUGGUGCUGCCAGUUUGCUUGCUCUCCGAUAGUUUGCUCCCUUUGUUCUUACGCAGGUCACUGUCCUGCUCCUGAGCAGGUGCUGCCCACGUCUGAGGUAGGUCUUCAUCCCCCGCCAUUCAUUUAAGGCAACCCAGUCACCCUCAGAUAACCCUACAAGCCAAACCCAACCAAGGUAGGGAAUCCCUCACUUAGACUGUCUUCACAGCUGAUUCUAGCUCAUGGCAGGUUGACAUUUAAGACCAAGCAUCUCAGGGGCCACUAAGCCAGGCUGAUAGAUGCCUACAGUUGCCUAUAUCACUCCUGUCUUUCCGCAUUAAUAAAGCUCGUCUUUCCUGAGCUCGUUUUAUGUCCCAGGCAUGCUGUGAAUUCCUUACGUAUGUUACAUUGCUUCUUAUUUUACGCCAGUCCUAUCAUGGGUAGGUGUUGCUAUUGUGUCUGUUUUACAGGUCAGAAAACAAAGCCCCAAAGAGUAGGGCUGUGGAGACAGCACAGUCAACAACACGUUCGGGUUGCAAUCUGAGAACCUGGGCUCAAUGCCUAGAUGAAAAAGCCAGACUCGGUGGCUCACGCUUGUAAUCCCAGUGCUGGGGAGACAGGGACACAUGGAUCCCUGAGGCGCACUGGCCAACUUGGCCUACUUGCUGCAGAGACGGGAAUUCUCAAAGAAAAGAAACAAUCCAAAAAGUCAUGUUUUCCUCUGGCAGCCCACAAGACAGGGACAAGACAGAUACACAAACAGAAAGACACAAGCACUCGGGGUUAAAGGAAGACAUAUUUAAAGGAUGACGGAAUGCAGAAGAUGCAACAGUAUCAACCGGGAGAGACCAGCUGUAUCUUCUGGGGCCAGGUGCUGGGCUCCCUUCCUGUUUCUCUAUCUCUUGAUUUUUCAAGCAGAACACAGUAAUUGACAGUAAUUUGCAUCCUUCCAAGUUUGGGCCUUUUAUCUGCGACUCUAUUGUGCUGUCUGUAAGGUAUGCACGAGGCCUGAGGAGGACUCCUAGCUGUCUCCUCUGUGAUUUGGCAUUGCUUGGGGCUUCAUUAAGAGCAUAACUAUGCUGACGCUGCUGCAGCGAGGACCACAAAUGGGCUAGGGAAAGCAGUUGUUAAAAUAUAAAAAUGCAAUAAAGAAGUCAUGGGUGUUUUUCCACUAA